CGCCAACAACGUGGUCUACAAGCAGUACGAGGACAUGGUGGUAGAGGCCUGCGGCUGCAGGUAGCAUGAGGUCUGGGGAGGGUUUUGCUGCCCAGGACCCUAGCCGAAGAGCGUGAGUCACCAGGCCCGAGGGAAGGCGGACAAUGUUCUCUGCCAGCAGAGGAGAGCACACAGUUAACACUCACAUUUACACACUCCUUCACUCGCGCACAUGUUUACUGUGGAUGCCAGGCGCUGAAAGCCUUGGACAGAGAUAGUAUGCAGCGACUUGAUGUCAUAGCCGUGUUCGUUUGCUGACGUUGAUACAAACCUCUGUCCCUUUGGGGAGAGGGAAGGGUGUCUGUGUUUAUGUU
Molecule: long non-coding RNA, 353 nt
Filed under: Rattus norvegicus (Norway rat)
Lineage: Eukaryota; Metazoa; Chordata; Mammalia; Rodentia; Muridae
Description: long non-coding RNA NONRATT024905
Source: RNAcentral